CCUACGGGAGGCAGCAGUGAGGAAUAUUGGUCAAUGGACGAGAGUCUGAACCAGCCAAGUAGCGUGAAGGAUGACUGUCCUAUGGGUUGUAAACUUCUUUUAUAUGGAAAUAAAAUGUUCCCUGGGUGGGAUUUUGUCUGUACCAUAUUCAUAAGGAUUGGCUAACUCCGUGCCAGCAGCAGCGGUAGUACGGAGGAUCCGAGCGUUUUCCGGAUUUAUUGGGUUUAAGAGGAGCGUAGGUGGAUUUUUAAUUCAGUUGUGAAAGUUUGCGGCUCAACCGUAAAAUUGCAGUUGAAACUGGCAGUCUUGAGUACAGUAGAGGUGAGCGGAAUUCGUGGUGUAGCGGUGAAAUGCUUAGAUAUCACGAAGAACUCCGAUUGUGAAGGCAGCUCACUGGACUGCAACUGACACUGAGGCUCGAAAGUGUGGGUAUCAAACAGGAUUAGAUACCCCAGUAGUC
This 460-nucleotide ribosomal RNA is filed under the name uncultured bacterium. RNAcentral describes it as "partial 16S ribosomal RNA". It matches the Rfam family "Bacterial small subunit ribosomal RNA", at positions 338 to 795 of the family's 1533-position model. The record is from RNAcentral.